AGUGAACGCUGGCGGUAGGCCUAACACAUGCAAGUCGAACGGCGGCACAGUAAGAGCUUGCUCUUACGGGUGGCGAGUGGCGGACGGGUGAGGAAUACAUCGGAAUCUACUUUUUCGUGGGGGAUAACGUAGGGAAACUUACGCUAAUACCGCAUACGACCUACGGGUGAAAGCAAGGGAUCUUCGGACCUUGCGCGAUUGAAUGAGCCGAUGUCGGAUUAGCUAGUUGGCGGGGUAAAGGCCCACCAAGGCGACGAUCCGUAGCUGGUCUGAGAGGAUGAUCAGCCACACUGGAACUGAGACACGGUCCAGACUCCUACGGGAGGCAGCAGUGGGGAAUAUUGGACAAUGGGCGCAAGCCUGAUCCAGCCAUACCGCGUGGGUGAAGAAGGCCUUCGGGUUGUAAAGCCCUUUUGUUGGGAAAGAAAAGCAGCAGGUUAAUACCCCGCUGUUCUGACGGUACCCAAAGAAUAAGCACCGGCUAACUUCGUG
This 492-nucleotide ribosomal RNA is filed under the name uncultured bacterium. Its description in RNAcentral is "partial 16S ribosomal RNA". It matches the Rfam family "Bacterial small subunit ribosomal RNA", at positions 29 to 507 of the family's 1533-position model. The record is from RNAcentral.